GGGGGCUUAGCUUAAGUUAAAGCGAAUGAUUUGCGUUCAUUAGAUGUAGGAUAACUCCUGUAGUCUCUA
This 69-nucleotide transfer RNA is filed under the name Sicista concolor (Chinese birch mouse). RNAcentral describes it as "tRNA-Ala". It matches the Rfam family "tRNA". Rfam says of the family: Transfer RNA (tRNA) molecules are approximately 80 nucleotides in length. Their secondary structure includes four short double-helical elements and three loops (D, anti-codon, and T loops). The record is from RNAcentral. Lineage: Eukaryota; Metazoa; Chordata; Mammalia; Rodentia; Dipodidae.